CCGACACCUUCUUCCCAGUGCGGCCCGGGCUGCGGCCCCGGGUCCGAGGAGGCCCGGGGAGACCCGGAGGAGGUGGAAACUGAGACCCAGAGAGCCGUGACUUGACUGAUCCCACAGCCAGGAAAUGGUGGAGCCUGGAUUUGAACCCCAGCUUUUAAGAAGAAGGUGCCACUGUCCUGGAAGAACUCUCAGGACAGCAUUAGUGUCUCAGGGAUCCCCCUAAUCGGAGGGGCCUUAAGGCAACCUAAUCAUGAUUGUCACUGAAGAUCCAGGAGGGCUUCCUGGAGGAGGAGGCAGCUCCAUUCUGAAAUGCCAAGGGUACAGCUUUAUUGGGACAGCCAGUGUCUCUGAAUAUGUAGGUUUUGCACAGAGCUUGUACUGCCCCAGGGCCUGUACACUGCCUGUCCCCUCUGCCUUGUGCACUCUUUCCCUAGAUGUCCAAAUGGCUCCUUUCCUCACCUACCCCAAAUCUCAAUUCCAGUGUUUCCCCAGCCUCCCCUCAUUUCAGUAAUCACUCUGCAGUGAGCUAGGAUUGCGCCACUGCACUCCAGCUUGGAUAAGAGAACAAGACCCUGUCUCUUAACUAAAUACAUAAAUAAAAAUAAUUCCCCUCUUCAUCCCUCUUUACCCUGUUUUGAUGGUUUUGUUCAACUUUUCACCAAUAGGACUUUCUCUUAUGCAUUUACUCGUUUCUCUUCCAAUCCCUCCC
RNAcentral lists this long non-coding RNA (709 nucleotides) under Homo sapiens (human). Its description in RNAcentral is "HSALNT0254795". The record is from RNAcentral. Lineage: Eukaryota; Metazoa; Chordata; Mammalia; Primates; Hominidae.